GAUAGAAGGCCAAAAGUCUUUCUCUCUAGUAAAUAGAGAGAGUUUCGCUGAGAUUUACUUUUAGUUUGCUGUGACUGAGGUCUCUGUUCUGUUGAUUGUAGCGGCCAUUCCUUUCUAGGCAGGGAAUGGCCCUCCAUGCCUCGUUGGACCUGGGUUUCCUUCCCCUUUUAUGGUGGGUUAUACAUGAGUGCUUUGGGGUUGAAUUUUAUGGCUUGC
This 216-nucleotide unclassified non-coding RNA is filed under the name Hevea brasiliensis (rubber tree). The record is from RNAcentral. Lineage: Eukaryota; Viridiplantae; Streptophyta; Magnoliopsida; Malpighiales; Euphorbiaceae.